This 6523-nucleotide long non-coding RNA is filed under the name Homo sapiens (human). RNAcentral describes it as "non-protein coding lnc-IRS2-5:1". Lineage: Eukaryota; Metazoa; Chordata; Mammalia; Primates; Hominidae. The record is from RNAcentral.
CUCUUUAAAGCAAAUAUCUACAGAGAUGUUUAUCACAUUAUCAUACCUCUGGUUGGAAACAAUAUUUUUGACUUGAUGGAUUUUAUAUUUUCACUAUUAGAAGCUACUCCUUUAUUCCCAAGUAUAAAAUUCUAGCUUCAAAGUAAAUGCUUGGCCAAUCAACACCAAAUAAGGCAGGAAAAAAAAAAAAAAAACGCAGAAAACUCACAAAGCCUCAGAUUAUAAGGGGCCUAGUCAGGUUUCAGAAACUCUAGUCCAAACAGGCAUUCCUAACCUAGCCCAGGCAGCUCUUACCUCAGGCACUUAGCAACGCGCAGGCCUUUUGAAUUUGCUUAAAACUAUUAAGAAGUAAUUAAGUAGUUAGAGGGUCUUUUUCAGCCCUGAGGUCCAGGAGGUGGGCUAAAUGAAAGAAAACAAGCGCAAUCGCUCAGCCUUGUCUUCCUUCUAGCUGACCUUGCACGCUAAUAAAUUCAUCCUGUAUUUUUCUGCUACUGCCAAUUUAUGGCCUACAGGAAACUAAUCUUGUACAAUAACUACCUUCCUGUACUUAGUUCCUAAAUAGAGCCAAAUGGAUUUGGUGGCGGAAGAGCUCCCCAGCACUUCCUGUGAGGCAGUUGCUGAGCCCAGCAAGAUCUGAUAGAGGCUUGAUGCGCUUAUCGACUCUGACGAUAUAAUUAUGUUCUUGUUUUGGCUGCCCUGCACUUAAGCACAGAAAAUAAAAAAGCAAUCCUCUGUACAACGCCUACCACAAUGAUUUAAACUUCAAACUGGAGGGUAAGAUGUGUAUUUGAAACAAGCCACGUAGGCACAGUUAUGGUGAAUUUAGGGAGUGAAACACACAGGUGAUCAAUAUUUCACUGGAGUCUUUGAUAUAAAAUAUAUAUCUGCUCUGUGAUUUCAAAAUAUUCACAAAGGAGUAAAUUUUUUAAUGAGCUAAUGAAAGAACUGUGUUUUCAUUUCAAACGGGAAGAGAGGGAGAAAGAGAGAGAGAAUAGAAAUAUAGAGCCAUUUCUUCAGUAAUAGUUUACAACCAGUUUGCCACAGGCUUGGAUUAAAGUAAGGAAAGGCUGUCAAAACGCAGGGUAACCUGUGUGAUAUCUUUUCAGACCCUCAAAUAGCUCAAAUACUACGCUGGGAAAACUCAGAGUUUGUCCUUUAAAGAACCUGAAAGUGUUUAAUCUUUGAUAAGUGCAGGCUCCUCAGGCUUUGCCGCUUCCCCACACCGGAUUUGCCUGCCACUCACCCAUACCGAUCUGAUGACUUCAUGUGGACACGGAUCGGUCCCGUAUGACAGCGUCUUCUUCCUGUGCUCAUUUAUUCUAGAACUAUAGCAAAGCUGCUAAUGCAAAGGGAAGCCUUCUACAAAAAGGAUGAAGAAAUCACCCUGACCAAGAGACCGAAGCAAAGAUGAAAGGAAGGCAUAAAUAAUCGCAGCUCGGGUCCGAUGAGACUUAUUGCUGGGGCUUUCAGACCUAGAGAGGUAGCAGGGGCGGGGUGGGGGUGCCUGUACGCGGGGGCGGGGUGUCCCACCCAGUUGACCUGGAUUAGAGCCCAUGGGGCUGCAUUCCGGGCUUCCGUGUUUCCCAAAGUUAUGUGGUGGCGGGGGGCCUGGCUGUUAAGGAUCUGGGGAUGUGGUUACCUAUGGCCUCUGAGGGUGACACCAGCUGUCCAGCACUGUGAAAUCAAACAAUGGUAGUGGGCCAGAAAGAUGGCUUAGCUUCCUCCUGAGUAUGAGCAAGUUUCCGUAACUGUGAAUCAUCCUUCCCCAACCAUAAAAGUGGGCAUAUUAAUACCUGUCUUGUAAGAAUCCUGUGAAGAUCAGGGAUAACAAAUGCAACUUAAUAAAAGUAACCUGUUAUGUGUUGGCUGGUGAUGCCAUAAAUGUAUUUUGUAAAAUCUUUAUAAUGGUGACUAACCAAUAUAUUAUUAUUAAUAGCAAUAGGAGUAUUGUCUGAUUCAAAGGGCGCAUUUAGAUUGUGGUAAUUCUGUGUGUGGCUGGAUGGGAGACUGGAGGGGGCUGGAGGUUUUAGGAUGAGUGGGACAGGGAUUAUUAGAAGUGGCUAAUAAAGAGAUCAAAGAAGUAACUUUGUUCCUAAUUUUUAAAAUCAUCAUUCUACCUCACUCUCCUAAAAGUGAUGAGGAUCAUAAUAUUUAUGCCUUACGUUUAUACAGGACUUUAUACUUGAAUAUCCCUUUUACAUCUCUGGUCCGUUUUAGAAAUUUGAGCCUAAACAUGGGAAGCAGAAAAAAAGUCAAUGUGGAAAAGCACUGUGCCCAUCCCAGUUUGGCCAGAAUGAUUUCAGAUUGUUAUCAAGAAAGGGAAUAGCGGCAGCAUGGUUUGGUUUUCCUCUCUCAAGAGGACUGGACACAGGGAAGGAACAGGAAAAAACCUCCUGAGCAAAGCAAGGUUCCAGAACAGACUAGUUCAAAGCCUACACAUGGUUAGUGCUCCGUGGAGGUGCCAGCUCACGGUUGGUGCACCGUGGAGGUGCCAGCUCAUGCUUAGUGCACCGUGGAGGUGCCAGCUCACGGUUAGUGCACCGUGGAGGUGCCAGCUCACGCUUAGUGCACCGUGGAGGUGCCAGCUCACGCUUAGUGCACCGUGGAGGUGCUGACUCAUGGUUCGCGCACAGCAGAGGCUCUGCGUUUUGGGAUUCGUCUGUUCUAAUUGUAGCCUUUCACUUACUGCCCUAAGACUGGCAUGGAAACUAUGUCUUUGAGUGAUGAAAGGGCAUCCGGUGUGUGGAAGCUCCUUGCAGAGUUUCUCCAUAUUGUCUCCUUGAUAGAAUGUAGCUUACUGCUGGCUUGCUUUGCACAUGGCAGUCACUCGGUGCAUGCUGGUGGAAUAAUUGAAUGGAAGCUCCAGGGCCAUCACCUGCACACAGUCCCCCGGAGGCCCUUUCUUCUCUCAUAUCUCAGCUUCCCACUGCUCAGCUUGAUGUCAGGGAGACAUCCUUGGUCUCCAGGAGGUGAGAGGGAACAGAACACUAACACCCCAGUGAAACACAGAUUGACUUAUUGUUUAGCAGCAACCAGGCAGGCAUGGGCUCCCUCCCCGCUGCCAGCAUCCACACGCACCUCCUCCGUAGCCAUGGUAAUAUUUCCCACAUGCCACAAGUCCGUGACAUGGUCCUAAUGAAUAGAAUGCUUUAUGUUUAGCCCCAAACGUGGUCAUUAUCCAUAUAUUUGAAAGAAAAGGCUCAAACAAAAACAAGGACGCCUGAUGCGAAGCUCCCAGCCUGUGGGUUCUUUGCCAUGGGCCUAUUGGAUGGGAGGUUUGGGCUGCAAGACAAGCUGUGACUUUACCUCCUUGAAUGUGCUGAUUCUAAAGAGUCGAUUUCAAUCUAAGGAAGGACAUUGGGGGGAUUGGAAAAAGUGAAGAGAUUGUACAGAAGCUCACAGCUAGCAGGUGAUGGAGGCUGAGCCCAGGAGUGCUUUUUCCACUCUCCCAGGCUGCUUAAAAAAUAAAUUGUAUUUGAAUGUGCUCACAUUAAUUUUGCUACCAGUUUACUGUCGUCAAAAUAGUGUCAAUGAAUGCAAGUUCUUAAAAGACCUGCAAGUCCCACCUGGGAGGUGGGGCAGCACAGGACAUGAGGAGUUGGUGGUGAAUGAGAAUUUGAGAAUGUUCAAUUCAUCCCUCAUUAGCCAUGUGAUCUCAGGCAGCCCGCUGAUCAUUUCUGUGUCUCAGGUUCCUACUCUGUGAGGGAGAGAGAGAGAAUAAUUGCACCCCCUUUGAAUGUAAGCAUCUCCCUUAGGAGAUGAAUACACACGGUGGAGUGACAGUAGCCAAGUUUUUUUUUUUUUAUACUUUAAGUUUUAGGGUACAUGUGCACAACGUGCAGGUUAGUUACAUAUGUAUACAUGUGCCAUGUUGGUGUGCUGCACCCAUUAAGUCGUCAUUUAACAUUAGGUAUAUCUCUAAAUGCUACCCUCCCCCCUACCCCCACCCCACAACAGGCCCCAGUGUGUGAUGUUCCCCUUCCUGUGUCCAUGUGUUCUCAUUGUUCAGUUCCCACCUAUGAGUGAGAACAUGCGGUGUUUGGUUUUUUGUCCUUGUGAUAGUUUGCUGAGAAUGAUGGUUUCCAGCUUCAUCCAUGUCCCUACAAAGGACAUGAACUCAUCAUUUUUUAUGGCUGCAUAGUAUUCCAUGGUGUAUAUGUGCCACAUUUUCUUAAUCCAGUCUAUCAUUGUUGGACAUUUGGGUUGGUUCCAAGUCUUUGCUAUUGUGAAUAGUGCUGCAGUAAACAUACGUGUGCAUGUGUCUUUAUAGCAGUAUGAUUUAUAAUCCUUUGGGUAUAUACCCAGUAAUGGGAUGGCUGGGUCAAAUGGUAUUUCUAGUUCUAGAUCCCUGAGGAAUCGCCACACUGACUUCCACAAUGGUUGAACUAGUUUGCAGUCCCACCAACAGUGUAAAAGUGUUCCUGUUUCUCCACAUCCUCUCCAGCACCUGUUGUUUCCUGACUUUUUAAUGAUCACCAUUCUAACUGGUGUGAGAUGGUAUCUCAUUGUGGUUUUGAUUUGCAUUUCUCUGAUGGCCAGUGAUGAUGAGCAUUUUUUCAUGUGUUUUUUGGCUGCAUAAAUGUCUUCUUUUGAGAAGUGUCUGUUCAUAUCCUUCACCCACUUGUUGAUGGGGUUGUUUGUUUUUUUCUUGUAAAUUUGUUGGAGUUCCUUUCUGAGCUUUCAGUUUCUCAUGGCCCAUAUGAGAUAGUAACGGUACUCACUUCCCCAGACUAUUGCGAUGAUGGCACGCGAUGGGGUGAGUGGGAGGUUUAUCACACAGAAUAAAUGAUACCUUUGGUUAUUUUUAGUGCUGCCCUUAUCCUGGGUCCUAAGAUUCUCUGAUCUCUUCCUAUUGGGUGUUCGUUUGACUAGAUUCCAAGAACAAAAAUUACUUGACCCACACUGGUAGGGCUAGGCAAUCUUUCCAGCCCUCCUGGGUUGGCAGCUGAUGGAUAUCAUCUGUUGGUCUCACUGUCCUUUACUGAGGACACUGGCAAACUUAGGGGGGUUUUCAUCAUGAUGCCAUGCACUGACAUCGUGAGGCAUACCUGUCUCAUUACAGCAGAGACUCAUGUGACCUGGGAACCACUGCAGGUCAAAACUACAGCGCAUGAAAGCCAGGAGUUUACCAAAUGGGUGCAGAGGCUGCCCAGGUGUUUGGGAAUUUAUUUUCAUUGGAAAUUUUUAUCAUUUCUUCACACAUAAGGAUAUUAGUUAUAAGAAGUCUGAAUUUUUUUUUUCCUAACAAGUACAAACUACUUACAAAAUAGUUGCAAGGACAACAGAAAUAAUUUUUUUUUUGCUGGACCUUUUGAGAGUAAGUUGCCUGCAUGAUAUCUUGUCAUCCCUGAAUACGAAUACUUUAGUGUGUAUUUUGUACCAACACAAAUAUGCUCCUACACAACCACAGUAGAGUUAACAGAAUCAGAUAAUCAACGUUGAUAUAUUCCUAAUGCCUAAUUCUCAGACCCUGUUCAUAUUUGCCCCCAGACAUCCUUAAAAACAAAAGGAACCAUCUCAGAGCUACAUGCUGCAUUUGGCUGUUGUGUUUUAUUAGGCUCCAUUCACCUGGAAAAGUUCCUCAGUCUUUCUGUGACUUUCGUGGCCUUGACACUCUAAUGGCUCUAGGCCAGUUACAUUGCAGGAUUUCCCCCAGCACGGGGCUGCCUGAUGCUUCCUCAUGAGCAGAUUCAGGUUUAGCGUCCUUGGCAGGAGAACCCAGGAGCGACCCUGGGACCGCCUCACUCCGUGCUCUCAGGUCGGCAGGACUGCAAUUUGCCCGGUUACUGACGAUGUUCACACUGGUGACCUGAUGGAGGUGGUGUCUGUGGUUUCUUCACUCCUUUCUUCCUUUGUAAUUAAUUAGUAUUACAUGGAGGACUAGCUUAAAACUGUGUAAAUACUCUGCUCUUCAUUCAACGUUUAAUUUAUUCAUUUAUGUUGUAUUUAUGUCAGUAUGGAUGUGUAGUUUUCUAUCUUAUUUAUUGGAUUAUAACCUGGAAUUAUCAUUACUUAUCUUACUGUUCACCUUUGCUGGGGUUUGGAAGCUGUUCCCACUGGCCCGUGUGUUGUCAUUCUCUGAGCAGGUCCUCAAGAUGUUUCUGAGUCAUUGUGGACCCUGCCUGCUCUGGAUCAUGGGUCAGCUGGUUCUCCAAAAAGAGCUGAAUCCCAAGAGGAGAAUGGGCUUUAGAUACCAUGAUCUGGGUGUACCUCAGUGCACAGAGCUGGACAGCAUAUGCAUAUAGACACACACACACACACACACACACACACACACACACAGAUGUUUAUGUCUAUGUUUGUCUCUAGCUCUGUCUAUAUGGAAAGCCAUGAGUUGGUGCUAAUAUCUUCAGUUCACUCAAGCACCUCAGAGUCCACCCCACUUUCUUCCUUUGUAUAUUUGUGACUCUCAUUCACACCCUGUGCCACCCCUGCCAUUUUCUAUCAGCAUUGCCACCUCCCCCUGCACAGUCCGAUUCCAAAUUCUGUAUGAUCUCUGAGGCCAGGCACUGGCCUGCAUCCC